UACAAGGAUUCUAUGGUAGAA
RNAcentral lists this non-coding RNA (21 nucleotides) under Caenorhabditis elegans. The record is from RNAcentral. Lineage: Eukaryota; Metazoa; Nematoda; Chromadorea; Rhabditida; Rhabditidae.